CUGCCAGAGAACCAGUUGAUGGAAAUAUCAAAGGAUUAUGGUACCAGAAUAUCAUCUGCUCUCAACAGGAUUAAUUGGGAUGUUUCCUAUAGAUUUGAAAAGGCUCAUGCAAUUCUAAAAAGGGGUUUUAUAAUAAACCCAUUGAAGGCACAGACCUGUUACAUAAACAGAUAGCGUAGAAUGAACAACAGCUUAAUUUGUAUGAUGUGGUAAACUGGCGCACUCCUGUGCCAGAUGAAGGUAUAGCGAUGACGUGAGUGCCAGGUGGCCCACAGAAGUGUGUGUUCAUGUGCCUCACACUCUGCGACUCCUUCCCCCCUCCUCCCUCCUCUCACAGCAGCAAACUGAUUCUGUCUGUUCUGCAGUGUGGUGACAUCAUCCCAGAGGCAAAGUCAGCACUGGAGCUGCCGCCCAGCGAAGCGGAGUCCAGAAGUAAACCAGACUUCCCUGCUGUUGUCACAGAGGGCCUGGAUGCCACAGGUUAAUGCCAUUACCUGGUAAGACCAUUCUGACCCUGUCCUGUCAGGGACAUUGAGAGGGGUGUUCUACUUCCGUCCCCUCCCCAGUGGGCCCGCUUUGAUCAGGAGCCGCCCCUCAUCCGCGGGGGGCGUCCACGCUCUGGGGAACUACAGCACAGCCAGCAGGGCAUGCAGACACCUGUCAUCUUUGACAGAUAAAGACAGCUGGGAAGUUGCAGGUAGAGUUUAGUCACAGAACUAAACUCUACCUGCAAUGAAGUUGGUCUUACUCACUCUGGACCCUGGGGAGAGGAAGAGGAGGCUGAGGAACAGUGCUCAACGGAAGACUGUUGGAUACUUACAAGUUUCAGUUUGCGUGGUUACAAGUUGGCAAUUAAAGUAGUGUGAAGGGUAGCACCUAAUGAUUAUUUUCAUUUAUUCACUCAUCGAUCAUUCAAUUAAGUGAUCGUCAUUUCAGAAGAGAAAACCCACAGUAGACACACUUCGCCAUGUGACGUGUUGAUGAAUGUUUUACAGUCUGUGAUGAACCAAAAUUCUCUGUGAGUGUGAAAACGUGAAACCACAGACGGGUACAAACUGUGCUGCACGUUCCACUGAGACAGGUCAGCUCAGUCUUAGUCUGAUCCAUCAAACACUUAACAAUCAAUUACUGUCCCGUGGGGGAAGCGGCUGAUGAGAAAGAACAGGUGAUUAGUUGCUGAGCUGUUGUGCUCCAUUAAGCUGGCCAAAACUCGAAGGCACUGCCGGCCCAGUUAGUCGCUGCGCUGACAGGUCGAUGGCUACUUUCAUUCAUCCUCUGUCCUGACAUAAUGGCCUUUCCACAUGGGACGGCCAGAUGUUGGGCCAGCAGAAUUACAAAAUGGAGGGAGUUGACCGUCUGCGGCUGAGAGAGUGAGAGCUUCUGCGGCCUAGGCCAAUCCCUAUCACGAGGACUAUUCUUCAUUUGUCUCAGGAAGUGGCUGAACACUGAGCCAUCUGUGUUGUUCCUCUAUACUCUGUUUCCCAGUUUACCAAAACUGUGAGCUGUCGAAAUACUCAAACUUAUUCUGACAACAGAUUAUGCGGUGUAAUGUAAAGUGUCAUUCACUGUGUUUAUGUCUGCUCGAGUGUGUGUGUGUGUGGGUGUGUGUUUGCAGAGUGGAGGAGGCUUACCGGAGGAUCAGUGGCCCAGCUUGCAUCACUGUGGAUGCAAGUCCUUCUGCAGACAAAGUGCCUCAACAAGUGCUGCUUUUAAUUAGGGGCAAAUGCCACUUGUAAACAGUUCUCCAUCUCCCCUGCUGUCGGCCAAGCAUCGAGUGUAGUACCCACCUUCACCACUGGGUGCCAGUAAGAUGUUGUGAAUGUGAGAUGGGAGCGUGGAGAAGAGAUGCUGUUCAGAAUGAGUAAAGGUUGAAUGGCCAGGGGCCACAAACGCACGCUACAAUCGGAAAUACAUAUUCAUGUAGAAACACUACACACACACACACACACACACACACACACACAUACACACACACACACACACACACACACACACACACACACACACACACACAAGUAUUGUCGAGAAGAGGUGUGCAUGAACUGACAUUGAGGAAAUUGAUGGGAACAUUAAUGAAAGCACCAGUCACACAUAUAAAAUUCAAAUUCAGAAACAGGAAGCAUCCAAAAUAUACAGUAAAUGCAAUGAAGUAAUAGCAUAAUAUAUAUAUAUAUAUAUAUAUAUAUAUAUGGGAUCCGAUUUGCAUUCAGCUAAAUCCCUUUUAAUUUAAUUUCUCGUUUGUUUCUGAUUAAAGGAAAAUAACACGA
This is an RNA transcript of Scophthalmus maximus (turbot), 2267 nucleotides long. RefSeq lists it as uncharacterized. The record is from RefSeq and is a predicted model, not a curated record. The transcript has 2 exons. Lineage: Eukaryota; Metazoa; Chordata; Actinopteri; Pleuronectiformes; Scophthalmidae.